GAAACGCGUAAUCUAGAUCUAAUUGCCAGAAAACAGCAAACGCAAAUUGAAGGGUAGACACUCUACUGAAUACCUGGCCUCUGAUCUUCAAAAGGGUCAGAGUCUGAUGAACACACUUUGGAACCGGACAGAGGUGGAGGUGGCACGGCCUUACGUCCGGACUCCAUGCCACUGAACGGCACGCACCAAAGUGGUGGAUUUUAUGGGGUCAAAUUCAUGAAAGGCGAAGAAGGACCGGGCAGCACUGCAGAUUGGAGCAGACUCCAGAGACGUGACAAGCGACACAAUGAGACAGAGGAGGGUCUCAGCGGGACAACCGGACAAGUCUGAAUAAAGCAGGGACCCAUCUUUGGAAGACGGAAGCCGCUAUAGGCUCACUUCCCAGGCGCACAGCUUCAGGGCUGCAGACAAAAGCUGGGGCCGCCCUGGUGCAGACGGUCCUCUCUCCCCAUCUCUCCCCAGCCGUGUGUGAAGCCGGUUUCUUCCCGUGUGGACGCCAGGCCCGGAACCAAUCACUUUACUGCAAAGACAGCCACAUCCCUAGUCACUGAACUCCAGGCAAAAUGCCUUCCAUUUCAAUGGAAGUGAUCUAAGAAAGCCUCGGGGAUCUUGGGGUAUUCCCAUCUUCCGAGGGCCUGAAGAGCUGGGGAGCAUUCCUUCUUUCAGCCAAAGGGCUCCGUAAAAGCCCGGAGGUGGAAUCACGCAGGAGGCCGAGAGCAACCUUUUUCCUCUGGGAAGGAUAUGCAUAGUAUGCGCGGGUUUAAACGAUGAAUUUCUAUUUUUAGGGCUUACCAAAAAAAGAAAUCAAUACAUUUUCAAAACUCUCUACUGCAUUCCUCAGAAAUUCCACGGGAAAAAGAACCAAACUGGGUCACUUAAAAAAAAAACAACAAAAAACCCCACAAAACCUUGGAGUGUUUGGAGGGCAUCCAAAUACUUAAAAAAUAUUCCCCGGCAGGACCAGAGGGCAGCGCUGCCUCCCAAGGGAUGGAUCCCUGACGGGUGGGAGCGGGCCAGAGCCUGUGACAACUGUUCUAAAGUCACUGUACGGUCACUGUGGCCUUCACAUACCUCAGUGAACUGUUGAAAAGGAAAACAAAAAUCAAAAAACCUAUGGGAAACACACAGUAUUAAAAAAAAUAAACCAACACUUCGGGGGCGCCUGGGUGGUUCAGUCGGUUAAGUGUCUGCCUUCAGCUCAGGUCCGGA
Molecule: long non-coding RNA, 1209 nt
Organism: Canis lupus familiaris (dog)
Lineage: Eukaryota; Metazoa; Chordata; Mammalia; Carnivora; Canidae
Exons: 3
Source: RefSeq, a predicted model, not a curated record